RNAcentral lists this unclassified non-coding RNA (235 nucleotides) under Hevea brasiliensis (rubber tree). Lineage: Eukaryota; Viridiplantae; Streptophyta; Magnoliopsida; Malpighiales; Euphorbiaceae. The record is from RNAcentral.
AGUCAUUCAUAAUGGCCUCUAUCUAACAAAAGAUACAAAAAGUCAGUAACUGAUAUGUUAGAUUAUAGACAGAGAAUUUACCCCACUCCAUUUCACUUUUUGGAAAGUACAGCUUGUGAGGACAAAAAAAAAAUGCAUCACAUACAUCCCUCACUGUACACACACAUCAAACAAGAGAUGCCAAGAGGACAAAGAAAAACAGUGAGCAAACCUUUGCCUCUGAUUGACCAAAGCU